ACACAUAUCACCCACCACGCAAAGAUAGAUGCAUAUGCUACGCACAUCAUUCUGCACAUAUACAUACAUCAUCCUGUCCGUAUAGCCCCGGGGGGGGGAGGGGAGAGAAAGAAGUCGGGACAUUUUCCUUUGAUUUUAUAUGGAAUUGCUGAAAAGACGUCAGCGUCCACCUUCUUCUUCUUCUUCAUUAUCAUCAUCAUCGUCUUCUUCUUCUUCUUCUUCUUGCUGCUGCUCUUGUUGUUGUUAUCGCCCUCUGUGCUCUGUAAAAGCCGCAUGAGCUGGAAUCUGAGCUAGGGGGUAGGGUUAGGAAUUUGGCGGGAAUAUUUUUUUUUUUUUUUUCCUGUCCGAGCUUGCUAGGCACUGUUUGGUGCUGCUGGAGGAAUUGAACAGUUUUGUGGAAGUUUGGAUUGAGAAUUUGGUCCAGGCCGGCAAAAUGAAUUCUACGUAUACGCAGUUUGUUGCCUCCAAAAGAAUGGGCAUAUGUGAUCCAAUCCAUCAACUCGGGAUGUGGGGAGAUUUAAAGGGAAAUGGCUUCGCAACCCCAUCUGCAGCAACCAUGAUUCUAGAAGUCGAGAAAAGCCUAGACAAUCCGAUGCCAGUGAUUGAGAAAACACUGGACAACCAGAUGGAGGACAUGUCACAUGGAUCUUUAGGACCUUCUAACAAGUAUGAACACGAAGCAAGUAAACCAAUUGAGAAGGUACUGAGACGCCUGGCACAAAACCGUGAGGCUGCCCGUAAAAGUCGUUUGCGGAAAAAGGCCUAUGUUCAGCAGUUAGAAAGUAGUAAACUGAAACUGAUUCAGCUGGAGCAAGAACUAGACCGAGCGAGACAACAGGGUCUAUAUGUAAGUGGUGGAUUAGAUUCUAGUCUGCUAGGUUAUUCUGGAUCUCCAAACUCAGAUCUCAGCCCCUCCCUUACUGAACCUGCAGCCAUCACUGCAUUUGAGAUGGCAUAUGGACACUGGGUGGAAGAACAAACUCGACGAAUAAAUGACUUGAGGAAUGCUUUGCAUUCUCAGGUUGGUGAUAUUGAAUUAGGCAUUCAUGUUGAGAGUUGCAAGAAUCACUAUAUUGAUCUUUUCCACAUUAAAGCAACUGCGGCAAAGGCUGAUGUCUGCUACAUUAUAUCCGGUGUGUGGAAGACACCAGCUGAGCGUCUUUUCCUUUGGAUUGGAGGUUUUCGUCCUUCAGAGAUUCUAAGGGUUCUCAUGCCACAUCUUGAGCUCUUGACAGAAGAACAACAUCAGAGUGUUUCUACCCUCGCUCAAUCAUGUCAGCAGGCAGAAGAUGCCCUAACGCAAGGAAUGCUUAAGCUUCACCAGUUUCUGGCAGAUACGGUUUCAGCAGGCCAACUAGGUGAAGAAAAUUACCUCCAACAGAUGCAUUCUGCAAUAGAAAAGUUGGAACAUUUAAUACGGUUCGUAAACCAGGCGGAUAACCUUAGGGAAUUAACCCUAAACCGGAUGUCUCACUUCUUAACAACCCGCCAAGCAGCGAGGGGCCUUCUCGCCUUGGGGGAGUACCUUCAACGACUGCGCACUCUGAGCUCACUUUGGGCAAACAGUCCUCGUGAGGCUGCUUAACAAUGUGAACCUCAAGAAUCUCCCCGCCUUUCAAACUCCAUCAGCUUCGCCAGCCUCCCGUGCAAGUCUGGUAUGCAUAUGGAUACGGAGCGCAAAUCUCAACUGCUGUCAACUUGGAGGCCACUUGCCAUGAUUGCCGAUUUGUGAAUAUGUUGAUCUGUUGUGUCAUGGAAGUUUGAAGUUGCAGUUUCCUUUCAUAUACAUAUAUUUCUUUGCCGGUAGGCGUAGUCUUGAACAAUAUAUAUGAGAUAUAAAAAAAAAAAUGCAGUGAGGUUUGGUAUUGAUAGUGUCAACUGUAUAUUGCAGCAUCUAUACUAAUGUUAGGGCUAUUUUUGGAUGCUUUGGGAAUGAACAGUUGCUCAGUAGAACAAAAAAUGGUCUAACAUUUUAAAUGUACUCUGGACUUCUGGGGACUGAGGGAAUAUGAACAUAUGAUAACAAUUGUAAUAGAAAAACAUUAAUAGAAUGGUGUUUUCAUUUCAUAUGGUUUUCCUGUUAAUCCACUUCAUAUUGAAUACA
RNA transcript from Ipomoea triloba (trilobed morning glory), 2104 nucleotides. It is a transcript of the gene named TGACG-sequence-specific DNA-binding protein TGA-1A-like, with no coding region annotated. Lineage: Eukaryota; Viridiplantae; Streptophyta; Magnoliopsida; Solanales; Convolvulaceae. The record is from RefSeq and is a predicted model, not a curated record. The transcript has 10 exons.